UCCAUGUUAGGGAUACUCCCUAACACUUUGGAGCUAGAGAGCCUGAUUUAUUUUUUUCUGUUUUUACUGUCUUAUCUCUGUUUUCUUGAGAUGCAUAGGAGCCUGACUCUGGGGCCUUUCCCUUAUCUUUCCCUGCCUAGCCCCGUCUGCCCCUAACUUGUUCUGACGUUAGUUGGACAUCUAUCUUUUUGGUUUUGAAACAGGAAUUUCAUAGUGUGGAAGGUUUAAAUUCACAGCGGGGGAGAAAAGUAGUAGCCCACAGGAGACCAUAUGUCUUACAGCUGAAGAAAGGGUGAAAUACAUAAUACAUGAUAUAUUUAGGACCUGAGAACCUGCUCUUUGAAAUGUAAUCACCAAGGAAAAAUCAUCCCUAUCCCACAGUCACCCUGGGAGGACAGGCCUCUACCUCUAAUUUGCAGAACUACCUCUUGUGAUAAAGAUAUGAGAAGUUUAUUUUCCCUUUGGAUAAAGCAAAUUGGU
Long non-coding RNA from Canis lupus familiaris (dog), 480 nucleotides. RefSeq lists it as uncharacterized. The record is from RefSeq and is a predicted model, not a curated record. The transcript has 3 exons. Lineage: Eukaryota; Metazoa; Chordata; Mammalia; Carnivora; Canidae.